Molecule: ribosomal RNA, 220 nt
Filed under: Psilocharis pacifica
Lineage: Eukaryota; Metazoa; Arthropoda; Insecta; Hymenoptera; Eucharitidae
Description: partial 28S ribosomal RNA
Rfam family: Eukaryotic large subunit ribosomal RNA
Source: RNAcentral
UUUCCCUCAGGAUAGCUGGCACUCGUUCGGAGCGAGUCUCAUCUGGUAAAGCGAAUGAUUAGAGGCCUUGGGGCCGAAACGACCUCAACCUAUUCUCAAACUUUAAAUGGGUGAGAUCUCUGGCUUGCUUGAAACUUGAAGCCACGAGAUAAAGUUACAGAAAAAAUGGAUCAGAGUGCCAAGUGGGCCAAUUUUGGUAAGCAGAACUGGCGCUGUGGGA